AUGCUGCUUCUCAACAGCAACACUUCUCUGCUCAGACAGCAUGCUCUCGAUUCAGGACUUCACCUCCCGUCACUUCCCCCUGCAGACAGCAUGCUCUCCAUUCAGGACUUCACCUCCUAUCAUGUCCCCGCUGCAGACAGCAUGCUCUCGGUUCAGGACGUCACCUCCUGUCACUUCCCCCUGCAGACAGCAUGCUCUCGAUUCAGGACUUCACCUCCUGUCACUUCCCCCCUGCAGACAGCAUGCUCUCGAUUCAGGACUUCACCUCCUGUCACUUCCCCCUGCAGACAGCAUGCUCUCGGUUCAGGACGUCACCUCCUGUCACUUCCCCCUGCAGACAGCAUGCUCUCGAUUCAGGACUCCACCUCCUGUCACUUCCCCCUGCAGACAGCAUGCUCUCGAUUCAGGACUUCACCUCCUAUUACCUCCCCACUGCAGACAGCAUGCUCUCGAUUCAGGACUUCACCUCCUGUUACUUUCCCCCUGCAGACAGCAUGCUCUCGAUCAGGACUUCACCUCCUGUCACUUCCCCCUGCAGACAGCAUGCUCUCGAUUCAGGACUCCACCUCCUGUCACUUCCCUCUGCAGACAGCAUGCUCUCGAUUCAGGACUUCACCUCCUAUUACCUCCCCACUGCAGACAGCAUGCUCUCGAUUCAGGACUUCACCUCCCGUUCCUUCCCCCUGCAGACAGCAUGCUCUCGAUUCAGGACUUCACCUCCUAUUACCUCCCCACUGCAGACAGCAUGCUCUCGAUUCAGGACUUCACCUCCUGUUACUUUCCCCCUGCAGACAGCAUGCUCUCGAUCAGGACGUCACCUCCUGUCACUUCCCCCUGCAGACAGCAUGCUCUAGAUUCAGGACUUCACCUCCUAUCAUGUCCCCGCUGCAGACAGCAUGCUCUCGAUUCAGGACUUCACCUCCCGUUCCUUCCCCCUGCAGACAGCAUGCUCUCGAUUCAGGACUUCACCUCCUAUUACCUCCCCACUGCAGACAGCAUGCUCUCGAUUCAGGACUUCACCUCCUAUUUUGGGCUUCGGUGCCCCAUUUCUACGGCAGAUGCCAUUCACGCCGUGGUGGUAUCGUAGCAUGA
RNAcentral lists this long non-coding RNA (1092 nucleotides) under Callithrix jacchus (white-tufted-ear marmoset). RNAcentral describes it as "lncRNA (ENSCJAG00000084531.1)". The record is from RNAcentral. Lineage: Eukaryota; Metazoa; Chordata; Mammalia; Primates; Cebidae.